GAAAUGCGAUAAGUAAUGUGAAUUGCAGAAUUCAGUGAAUCAUCGAAUCUUUGAACGCACCUUGCGCUCCUUGGUAUUCCUUGGAGCAUGCCUGUUUGAGUAUCAUGAAAUCUUCAAAGUAAAUCUUUUGUUAACUCAAUUGGUUUCUACUUUGGUAUUGGAGGUCUUUGCAGCUUCACACCUGCUCCUCUUUGUUCAUUAGCUGGAUCUCAGUGUUAUGCUUGGUUCCACUCGGCGUGAUAAGUUAUCUAUCGCUGAGGACACUGUAAAAGGUGGCCAAGGUAAAUGCAGAUGAACCGCUUCUAAUAGUCCAUUGACUUGGACAAUACUUUUAUGAUCUGAUCUCAAAUCAGGUAGGACUACCCGCUGAACUGAAGCAU
This 380-nucleotide unclassified non-coding RNA is filed under the name plant metagenome. RNAcentral describes it as "partial contains 5.8S ribosomal RNA, internal transcribed spacer 2, and large subunit ribosomal RNA". The stretch from base 1 to 105 matches the Rfam family "5.8S ribosomal RNA", at positions 50 to 154 of the family's 154-position model. The record is from RNAcentral.